This 383-nucleotide ribosomal RNA is filed under the name uncultured eukaryote. Its description in RNAcentral is "partial 18S ribosomal RNA". It matches the Rfam family "Eukaryotic small subunit ribosomal RNA", at positions 592 to 976 of the family's 1831-position model. The record is from RNAcentral.
CAAUAGCGUAUAUUAAAGUUGUUGCAGUUAAAAAGCUCGUAGUUGGAUUUCUGGUGGGAGCGAUCGGUCUGGCGCUUAGCGCGAGUACUUGCAUCGUCUCCGGCCAUCCUUGGGGAGAGUCUGUCUGGCAUUAAGUUGUCGGGCAGAGGAUCUUCAUCGUUUACUGUGAAAAAAUUAGAGUGUUCAAAGCAGGCUUAUGCCGUUGAAUAUAUUAGCAUGGAAUAAUAAGAUAGGACUUUGGUACUAUUUUGUUGGUUUGCGCACCAAAGUAAUGAUUAAUAGGGACAGUUGGGGGUAUUCGUAUUCCGUUGUCAGAGGUGAAAUUCUUGGAUUUACGGAAGACGAACUACUGCGAAAGCAUUUACCAAGGAUGUUUUCAUUAA